RNAcentral lists this non-coding RNA (798 nucleotides) under Malaccina sinica. RNAcentral describes it as "12S ribosomal RNA". The stretch from base 391 to 791 matches the Rfam family "Microsporidia small subunit ribosomal RNA", at positions 752 to 1303 of the family's 1311-position model. The record is from RNAcentral. Lineage: Eukaryota; Metazoa; Arthropoda; Insecta; Blattodea; Blattellidae.
AAGAAGUUUUAUUCUGGCUUGUUAUUAUUCAUUUUAAGUUAAAUAUACAUGUAAGUUUUUGUGUGAUUGAGUAGUAAAUGUCUUAAUGAUUUUGUUAUUAUAUGCUUUGUUCGCAGUAUGGAAUAUUGAAUAUGAAGUGUUUUUUGAUUUGAUUAAAUUUAGGUAGUAUUGAUUAAAUAUGUGCCAGCAGUCGCGGUUAGACAUGAAAUAUAAGUGAAUAUUUUUGGUUAAAAUAGUUAUUAGUUAUUAUGAUUUUUUUUAUUAUGAAUUUGUGGUGGAAUAAUGGAAGAGGAUAUUAUGAGAAUUUAUUUUAUAAUAAGAGGCUAUGAAAUCUAUUAUUUAAACUAGGAUUAGAUACCCUAUUAUUUUAGAUGUAAAUUAGUUUAACUUGGGUAGUAUAAGUGAUUUCUGAAACUUAAAGAAUUUGGCGGUAUUUUAGUCUUUUUAGAGGAAUCUGUUCCGUAAUCGAUAAUCCGCGUUGGACCUUUCUUGAAUUGAUUAGUUUGUAUAUCGUUGUUGUUGAAUAUUUUUAUAGAUAAUAAUGUUCUUGACUCUUAUAUUGAGAAGUAUUUCAAAUCAAGGUGUAGCUUAUAUUUAAGUGGAGAUGGAUUACAAUAUAUUAUAUGUAAUAUGAAUUGUUGAUUGGAAUUUUGUCAUGAAGGUGGAUUUAAUUGUAAUUUUGUGAAGAUUGUUAUUAUGAAUAUGCUCUAGAAUAUGUACACAUCGCCCGUCGCUCUCAUGUAUAAAUGAGAUAAGUCGUAACAUAGUGGUUGUACUGGAAAGUGUAGCCAGAAUGAU